GAUGAACGCUGGCGGCGUGCCUAAUACAUGCAAGUCGAGCGAACAGAUGAGGAGCUUGCUCCUCUGACGUUAGCGGCGGACGGGUGAGUAACACGUGGAUAACCUACCUAUAAGACUGGGAUAACUUCGGGAAACCGGAGCUAAUACCGGAUAAUAUAUUGAACCGCAUGGUUCAAUAGUGAAAGACGGUUUUGCUGUCACUUAUAGAUGGAUCCGCGCCGCAUUAGCUAGUUGGUAAGGUAACGGCUUACCAAGGCAACGAUGCGUAGCCGACCUGAGAGGGUGAUCGGCCACACUGGAACGGAGACGCGGUCCAGACUCCUACGGGAGGCAGCAGUAGGGAAUCUUCCGCAAUGGGCGAAAGCCUGACGGAGCAACGCCGCGUGAGUGAUGAAGGUCUUCGGAUCGUAAAACUCUGUUAUUAGGGAAGAACAAAUGUGUAAGUAACUAUGCACGUCUUGACGGUACCUAAUCAGAAAGCCACGGCUAACUACGUG
RNAcentral lists this ribosomal RNA (497 nucleotides) under uncultured bacterium. Its description in RNAcentral is "partial 16S ribosomal RNA". It matches the Rfam family "Bacterial small subunit ribosomal RNA", at positions 28 to 507 of the family's 1533-position model. The record is from RNAcentral.